GAGACUGAUGUGUGCUCAUGCAUAUAUCAUGCAUCUUUCUGAAUGUGCCAUGAAGCACUCUGGCAGUCACCCCUUGUACUUGCUCAGUAAAGGGAGGUAGCUUUGUACUUCUGGUAGUGAUGGAGUUGUGGAUAUGGUUGUAAGAGAAAAAAAAAAAAAAAAAAAAAGAUCUUUUAGCUUAUCCCAUAAACAUACUUUGGUUUGCAUUUCAUUUAGGUUUAAUUUCUAUUAAAAAAAAAAGAAAAGAAAAGUCAUGUGUACUAAAAGGCAUGUGAUUGAGAAACUGAUCUAUCCACUUUAAACCCCCUAGGAAAGCUGAUCAAAAGUGGGAGAGCUGCAUGUCUAUUUUCUUCUUCAGAAAUCCCAGGAUAUUUGCUAAGCUCAUUUGUUACUCAUAUAUAGUGGCAUGUGAUUAUUAAUGUUAUCAUACUUAAUUUUCCGUUAUUAUUAUAAGGUAUUUUUCCCUUAAAUAUUUUAUUCAACAGUUUUACUGUAAAACAACAAAACUAAGAAAUUUGUGGGAAGAUGCUUGCUGCUGCUGUGCUAUCUUUUGGAGGGCUGCUCCCCCUUCCUUGGGGGCAGCAAUGCCAGUGUUUCUAGGAGAAGUCAGGCUCACAUCCAGGCUGAUGGAUGCUCUGAAGUCUCAAUGGUGUGACCACUGCCUUGGUUUCAGCAGGUUUUCAGUUUGUUCUUGGCUGCACGAACAUUUCUUGUGGAGCUGACUGCAGGACUGCAGAACCAGCACUGAGAGAAGCCCAAUUCAAAGGCUUUCCUCCUGAUGUGCACAGUGGAUUUAGAAAGCUGGGAGCCCAGGGGUUUUAUCUUGCUGGGAGGGAAAGCUUGGUGAGAUUUAUAGUGGGAGGGAAUCUGAGACCAAGAGAGUUCAGCUAAAGGAUCAAGCAAAGAGAACUCAGCAACCAAGUCCUUGUUCAGUAACACAACUGAAUUGUGAACGAUGGUGAGAAGACACUGAUUCAGCUCUUAGCUAAGAAGCUUCAUCUCCAGAAACACAAGCCCUCUCUGGCCACAAAAUCAUUGGUAAGCUUUAUCUUGGACCUUGUGAGGUUCAGCCCCUACUGACUGUAGCCUCUUUGCUAUUGCAGAAGUCAUACAGAUAUUGACUGAUAAUUUAUUUUUGUAGUCUCUCUUCUUUGGGCAGCAGGAUUAGGAAUAUAAUGAAUGAAAAACUGGAGAAAGGGG
RNAcentral lists this long non-coding RNA (1200 nucleotides) under Anas platyrhynchos platyrhynchos (common mallard). Its description in RNAcentral is "lncRNA (ENSAPLG00000023787.1)". Lineage: Eukaryota; Metazoa; Chordata; Aves; Anseriformes; Anatidae. The record is from RNAcentral.